RNAcentral lists this transfer RNA (74 nucleotides) under Dipodomys ordii (Ord's kangaroo rat). It matches the Rfam family "tRNA". Rfam says of the family: Transfer RNA (tRNA) molecules are approximately 80 nucleotides in length. Their secondary structure includes four short double-helical elements and three loops (D, anti-codon, and T loops). Lineage: Eukaryota; Metazoa; Chordata; Mammalia; Rodentia; Heteromyidae. The record is from Rfam by way of RNAcentral.
GGUGAAGUAGCUCAAGUGGUAGAGCACUUGCCUUCGCAAGCAUGAGGCCCUGGGUUCAAACUCUAGUAUGAUCA